RNAcentral lists this transfer RNA (72 nucleotides) under Bacteroidales bacterium. RNAcentral describes it as "tRNA-Met". It matches the Rfam family "tRNA". From Rfam's summary of the family: Transfer RNA (tRNA) molecules are approximately 80 nucleotides in length. The record is from RNAcentral. Lineage: Bacteria; Pseudomonadati; Bacteroidota; Bacteroidia; Bacteroidales.
UGCGGGGUGGAGCAGUGGUAGCUCGUCGGGCUCAUAACCCGAAGGUCGCAGGUUCAAAUCCUGCCUCCGCUA